RNAcentral lists this ribosomal RNA (253 nucleotides) under uncultured bacterium. RNAcentral describes it as "partial 16S ribosomal RNA". It matches the Rfam family "Bacterial small subunit ribosomal RNA", at positions 524 to 776 of the family's 1533-position model. The record is from RNAcentral.
UACGGAGGGUGCAAGCGUUGCUCGGAAUUAUUGGGCGUAAAGGGCAGGUAGGUGGUCUUAUUUGUCUGAGGUGAAAUCCCAGGGCUUAACCCUGGAAGUGCCUUAGAAACGGUAAGACUUGAGUCCUAGAGGGGGUCGUGGAAUUCCCGGUGUAGCGGUGAAAUGCGUAGAGAUCGGGAGGAACACCAGCAGCGAAGGCGGCGACCUGGAUAGGAACUGACACUCAACUGCGAAAGCGUGGGGAGCAAACAGG